This 486-nucleotide ribosomal RNA is filed under the name uncultured Methanosaeta sp. Its description in RNAcentral is "bacterial SSU rRNA". It matches the Rfam family "Archaeal small subunit ribosomal RNA", at positions 852 to 1338 of the family's 1478-position model. Lineage: Archaea; Methanobacteriati; Methanobacteriota; Methanomicrobia; Methanotrichales; Methanotrichaceae. The record is from RNAcentral.
AAACUUAAAGGAAUUGACGGGGAGCACCACAACGGGUGGAGCUUGCGGUUUAAUUGGAUUCAACGCCGGAAAUCUUACCGGGACCGACAGCAAUAUGAAGGCCAGGCUGAAGACUUUGCCGGAUUAGCUGAGAGGUGGUGCAUGGCCGUCGUCAGUUCGUACUGUGAAGCAUCCUGUUAAGUCAGGCAACGAGCGAGACCCACGCCCACAGUUGCCAGCGUACUCUCCGGAGUGACGGGUACACUGUGGGGACCGCCGCUGCUAAAGCGGAGGAAGGAAUGGGCAACGGUAGGUCAGUAUGCCCCGAAUAUCCCGGGCUACACGCGAGCUACAAUGGUUGGUACAAUGGGUAUCUACCCCGAAAGGGGAUGGGAAUCUCCUAAAACCAAUCUUAGUUCGGAUUGAGGGCUGCAACUCGCCCUCAUGAAGCUGGAAUCCGUAGUAAUCGCGUUUCAACAGAACGCGGUGAAUACGUCCCUGCUCCUU